UUCGUAGCUGGUUUGAUAAGUCUCUGGGGAAAUCUGACGGCUCANCCGNUAGGCUUCUGGGGGAUACUGGCAAACUUGGAACCGGGAGAGGUGAGAGGUACUACAGGGGUAGGAGUGAAAUCUUGUAAUCCUUGGGGGACCACCUGUGGCGAAGGCGCCUUACCAGAACGGCUUCGACGGUGAGGGACGAAAGCUGGGGGAGCGAACCGGAUUAGAUACCCGGGUAGUCCC
Molecule: ribosomal RNA, 231 nt
Filed under: uncultured methanogenic archaeon
Lineage: Archaea; Methanobacteriati; Methanobacteriota
Description: partial 16S ribosomal RNA
Rfam family: Archaeal small subunit ribosomal RNA
Source: RNAcentral